UAAAAAGGUAAGCUAAAUUAAGCUUUUGGGUUCAUACCCCAACUAUAGUAUACAUACUCUUUUUUA
Molecule: transfer RNA, 66 nt
Filed under: Lepas australis
Lineage: Eukaryota; Metazoa; Arthropoda; Thecostraca; Lepadidae
Description: tRNA-Met
Source: RNAcentral